This 464-nucleotide ribosomal RNA is filed under the name Klebsiella pneumoniae. Its description in RNAcentral is "bacterial SSU rRNA". It matches the Rfam family "Bacterial small subunit ribosomal RNA", at positions 338 to 794 of the family's 1533-position model. Lineage: Bacteria; Pseudomonadati; Pseudomonadota; Gammaproteobacteria; Enterobacterales; Enterobacteriaceae. The record is from RNAcentral.
CCUACGGGGGGCUGCAGUAGGGAAUCUUCGGCAAUGGACGGAAGUCUGACCGAGCAACGCCGCGUGAGUGAAGAAGGUUUUCGGAUCGUAAAGCUCUGUUGUAAGAGAAGAACGAGUGUGAGAGUGGAAAGUUCACACUGUGACGGUAUCUUACCAGAAAGGGACGGCUAACUACGUGCCAGCAGCCGCGGUAAUACGUAGGUCCCGAGCGUUGUCCGGAUUUAUUGGGCGUAAAGCGAGCGCAGGCGGUUAGAUAAGUCUGAAGUUAAAGGCUGUGGCUUAACCAUAGUACGCUUUGGAAACUGUUUAACUUGAGUGCAAGAGGGGAGAGUGGAAUUCCAUGUGUAGCGGUGAAAUGCGUAGAUAUAUGGAGGAACACCGGUGGCGAAAGCGGCUCUCUGGUCUGUAACUGACGCUGAGGCUCGAAAGCGUGGGGAGCGAACAGGAUUAGAUACCCUAGUAGU